RNAcentral lists this ribosomal RNA (451 nucleotides) under uncultured bacterium. RNAcentral describes it as "bacterial SSU rRNA". It matches the Rfam family "Bacterial small subunit ribosomal RNA", at positions 356 to 824 of the family's 1533-position model. The record is from RNAcentral.
GGGGAAUCUUGCNCAAUGGGCGAAAGCCUGACGCAGCCAUGCCGCGUGAAUGAUGAAGGUCUUAGGAUUGUAAAAUUCUUUCACCGGGGACGAUAAUGACGGUACCCGGAGAAGAAGCCCCGGCUAACUUCGUNCCAGCAGCCGCGGUAAUACGAAGGGGGCUAGCGUUUUUCGGAAUUACUGGGCGUAAAGGGAGCGUAGGCGGACAUUUAAGUCAGGGGUGAAAUCCCGGGGCUCAACCUGGGAAUUGCCUUUGAUACUGGGUGUCUUGAGUAUGAGAGAGGUGUGUGGAACUCCGAGUGUAGAGGUGAAAUUCGUAGAUAUUCGGAAGAACCCCAGUGGCGAAGGCGNCACACUGGCUCAUUACUGACGCUGAGGCUCGAAAGCGUGGGGAGCAAACAGGAUUAGAUCCCCUGGUAGUCCACCCCGUAAACGAUGAUUGCUAGUUGUC